GCCCAUAUAGCUCAGCCGGCAGAGCGCGUCCUUGGUAAGGACGAGGUCGCGAGUUCAAAUCUCGCCUGAGGCU
This 73-nucleotide transfer RNA is filed under the name Methanolinea sp. Its description in RNAcentral is "tRNA-Thr". It matches the Rfam family "tRNA". From Rfam's summary of the family: Transfer RNA (tRNA) molecules are approximately 80 nucleotides in length. Their secondary structure includes four short double-helical elements and three loops (D, anti-codon, and T loops). Further hydrogen bonds mediate the characteristic L-shaped molecular structure. tRNAs have two regions of fundamental functional importance: the anti-codon, which is responsible for specific mRNA codon recognition, and the 3' end, to which the tRNAs corresponding amino acid is attached (by aminoacyl-tRNA synthetases). tRNAs cope with the degeneracy of the genetic code in two manners: having more than one tRNA (with a specific anti-codon) for a particular amino acid; and 'wobble' base-pairing, i.e. permitting non-standard base-pairing at the 3rd anti-codon position. The record is from RNAcentral. Lineage: Archaea; Methanobacteriati; Methanobacteriota; Methanomicrobia; Methanomicrobiales; Methanoregulaceae.